This is a long non-coding RNA of Cynoglossus semilaevis (tongue sole), 5023 nucleotides long. RefSeq lists it as uncharacterized. The transcript is spliced from 2 exons. The record is from RefSeq and is a predicted model, not a curated record. NCBI's taxonomy places the organism in Eukaryota, Metazoa, Chordata, Actinopteri, Pleuronectiformes, Cynoglossidae.
AGAAAAUCAAUGUGUUUGCAUAGAGGCAAGUUAAGGUAGAAAUCUAGAAUUUUUUUUAAAUUAACUUUGUAGAACCUUUCAACCUGGGAGUUAAAAUCAGUUAAAACUGUAAGAAUUUAAAUUAAGUUUUAGGUGAUGUUGAAUUAGGUUUGAGAGACUUUUUACACAAAAGUCUGAGUGCAUUUUCCUCAGCUCUAUUGUUUGUAGCACUGUUUGUACAGUAAAUUGUUUUCCUUUUUUCACAUUCUCACAUAAGAAUGUCAUCUCUGUACAUCACAACAAAGAUCAGCCGUUCUAACAGACGUCCUGCUCUGCGUUUGUUUUCCUUUCUUCCCUAGCGUAUUGUUGACUCACACUGUGUUUGCCCCUCUUUCUGUGGCAGAUAAGCGAAGGACAUGGUAACAAACCAUUAGCAUUUAGUUGGAUUUGUCCCUCAUGUGGUCAUCAUUACUGAAUCGCAUUAGACACAGGAACGCAGUCUUGAGAAAAGCCAUUCUGUAAGAGGCUGGCGUGGCAGACUUGAGUCCCUGUAAAAAGCCUAUCUGCAGCCACAGUGCUGCGGUGCUCCUGGCAGAUAUGUGUAAUCAGUAGAUUUAUGCCGUCUCCGUGCUGUUGCAUAGUCUGAGCCUGUGAGGUAAGGCUCCCUUAUCUGCGGACUCAGACCAGAGCAGAUGAUGAAAAAAACUACUUGCAGUUACUUUACAUUGUGCUCACAAGGCAUCACAAUGAAGGAUUACAGAGCCGGCAACAAAAGGGAGAAGUCGAAGUUGGGAGAAAUUAAUCAGAAGUUUAACACUGCUGCAGUUUUGAUACGCGUGUGAAGAAGGUUUACUUUUGUGUAUUAUUAAGAUGAAUACUUUAGUGUACAUGUCUUUGUCCCAGCAGUUUUUUUUGUAUUGGAUCCACAGAUUUAUGAUGCAGUUCUAGAAUAACCUUCCUCGUUAAGCCAUAAUGCCAGACAUUCAUUACCUCUGGCGCAGAGACUAAUGACACUAUUAAUCAGCUAUGAAUAGAGCCUGGCAGUGUCAGCGUGAGGCUGACAUCUCCGUACUGUAACAGUCCUGGGCACGUAUGUACAAGGCACACUGACAGAAUCACACUGACUCGUGGCCAGCAUGUCAGUUACCUACACUCAAAAAGUUGUAUCAAGAUUGCAUUCUUUCCUCAGCCUCUCCCACAAUGUAUUUCCAGACAAGCUUUGGUUCUGUUACAUUUUUGCUUCCAAAAGGCCAACAUCAUAUAUCAGUCCCUUUAUUCACUGAUUCAGACUGGGCCAAAGGAACAAGUCGUCUGUACGACACGCUGAGUGUUUUUCUGUACUAUUGAAAAAAAUGACCCUCACUGACCCCUGAAAAAUGCCCUUCUCUUUAGAAAAGCACUUAAGUCUCCCUUGUUGUAUAUCACUGUCUCUGAGCCCAACAUGAACUGCAGCUGGGCCAGUCUCCAUGGACUUUCCAUUGACAAAGCAAUUUCAGUUAAAGCACGGCGAAGCAAAAUAAUAAUUUGGCCAAACUUAAGUCUUUUGCUUUGUUUUAUUCAAUUUGUUAUAAUUUAUUUCAUCUUAGAAUUACAACAAACUCCAACAUACAAAAAUACAGUUUUUGCUGCCAGACAGUGGAAUGGACUGGUUUACCUUACAGUGAGAAGACUAUGGGUCUGAUCCCUGACCAAAUUCCUAAAUGAGUUAAAGUAUGUAUUUAAUUCAAUUUAUAGAAACAAGUCUGACCACAGACAGUUAGAUAGUGCUUCAAUUCCCAGUCUUUUCAAUUUAUAAUAUAUAUGUAUACAUAUAUCUACAUAUAUGUACAUCUACAUGUAUCAUAUAUGUAUAUAUUUAUAUAUAUAUUUAGAUAUACUGUAUAUAACAUAUAUAUCUUUUUGUGGAAGUAGUUUUUUUGAAGAACGAUGUGUCUGUAAAUACAUCUCAUCAUUUAAAAAACUUUCUUGUCUGAACUUUUGCCGUCUGUUCUGACUCUCAACAGGCAGAAGUUUGUUUCAAGAUGAUGCAAAUCUGACUCAUACCAAACAUUAUUGUGGACAUGUGGGAUUUUAAACUUGUUGUGUUUUUUUUCUCCUAUUCACCGUUUUGUGUAUAUAGGAAAGAUGUAGAACCUUGCGGGGAAAAUGGUUUUUAAAUGUGUUUUUAAUGUCAGAAAAAUGGUAAUUAGUGACACAAAUAUAGGAGAACAGACGUUCCUCAGCCUGACUGCUUCUGGUUAUCGACUGAAGUUUUGAUUACCGUUGUUGUCACUAUAUUUCCUCAUUUUCUAAGGUUAUAAUUACUACUGUUGUUACCUUGAGUUCUAUGUUACAAGCUGAAUUGUAGCCCAUCCUUUAUCUCAGGCUAUUAUGAUCAUAAAGAUUCCUAAUCUGUGGAUGAAUAAUAAUAAUAAAAAAUUAUCAUCCCAUAAAAGAUAUUUAUUUUGUGCCUCUUAUCAGGCACUAAAAGUUAGUUUUGAAUUCUGUGGCCAUUGGAUCAACAAACAAGCUGAGUUCAACCCUAAGUUAAUUUGUUUAUUUUCACCUGACCAGGUUUCCAAUACUCCUUCAUUGGUUUUCAUUUAAUAAUUGAUUCGGCUCUUGGCUUAUAUAUGAAUUACAUGCUGUUUGAACUGCAUGGCAUCAAAACUCACUGUUUGAGUUCUGCCUCCCAGGCAAAACAUCACCGCUCUGAUACCUUUGGUUUUAAACACAGUGUUUGUGAGUCUGGGUUUGCCUCAGCUAAUCCCAGCUUAAGAUGCUCAGUGUCAAUAAAUAAUGUUUUUAUUAUGGUUCUUUUAUUCCCUGCUUUUCUCUACUCCAUUAUUUAAUUUAGUGUUUUCGCAGUCGUCCAAGUCUUUGUGCUGUUAUUAAGAAAUGUAGGCUUUUGCACGUUGUUGUUUGGAAAUCCUUUGUUUUCAUUUACAAGGUGAAUCACAAUUAAAUGGUGACAGUAAUUGUUCCUUGUAUUAGUCAUGGAGGAUGUGGAUGUGUCUCCUCCUCAACAAACAGGCCUAAAGCUGCUGCUAAUCCUAUCAGGGUAUGGUGUGUUGACGUUGUGUUGAUCCCAUCACUGUUCAUGUAGAACACUGCUGUGUUGAGCUUUUUUUUCUUUUGUGUUUGUAGCUUUAUAAGUGAGGAUAAUUGCAAAAAAAAAAAACGGUAAUUGCUACUGUAGUCUGAAAGAAUUAGGACAACAAUUUGUCAGAUACUGAAGCUGAUCCUUUGCCAGGCAAGUUGGUUUGAAAUGAUUGGAUUAGAUUUUCUUUUACAAAUUCAUGAACGAGAGACCAGAAAACCCGGGGAAUUCUUCACUUCAGUAGCCUGAUCUACAUCUGUCUGAGUUUAAGAUAAGUCUGAAAUCAGCUCAGUUUAAAAAAAGAAACAUGUGAGAUCAGCCUUGACUGACUUUGAAGAGCUCGUGUCCCAGCUCUGAGGCUUUGUCAGAUCGGCGUCAGGAUCAGACUCACUCAUCUGACAAGUGUACUGAUUCUGAGCUUUGCAAAACGUAACAAGUGUUUUCUUAUGAGGCCGUUGUUCCCAUGAUCCAUUAGGAGUCAUUAAGGUGGCGUUCACUCACAGUCACAGCCUGACUGACACUGAUAGUCGUGGCUUUGAAUAUUCAUCACUGUGACAUCAGUGUCCAGUGUCAGUCUUUCUGCCCUUUUUUCUUCUGCUCUACAUUUUUUUUUCCAUAAUUAAGGAUAUGACUUGGAACAGAACACUUUCUUAAAAACGUCCACAUGUCACAGUGAUUGGCCUUAGCACUGUGCCUUAGUUUGCAGGCAAAAACUAUCAUUUAAUUUCUUUGUAAAACACCAUUCACUUUAAAACAUCCUGCAGAUGGUGGGGAAUAAAAGUUGCAAACUGCAUUAAAGAAAUACUGUUUAUAAUAACAUAAUUAUUUGCAUGAUAAACUACUUAUGUGGUGGCAUAAAAUCAAAGUAUAAAACAUCUCUACACAAAUGAAAUUACAACCUUUCCAGGCAGCACUGUUGUGUAGUGGUUUGUGCUAAAGCCCCACAUCAAAAAGGUCAGCAGUUCGAUACUGUGCUCACCCAUGUGGUCUUUGUGUACAGGAUUUUAAUUUAGUUUUUAGUUUUUUUUUUUUAGAAGUUGGUACAGACCGAGGAGGUCAGAUCAGGAUAUUUAGGUUUGCAGUGGUGUAUGUGUGAAUGGUGACGUACACACAUCUGAGUUCAGACAUGUGUAUGUAUGUUAGUUUACUACAGUAUGUUCUUCACGUCACUGUGAUCACAAACAUUGAGGUGAAGUGGACCUUUGAAUGUAAACACACAUUGAAAGUCAAGUGCGUGUGUAAUCCUGCUCAAAUGGCCAAACGUCAACAGAACAGCUGAGGUUUUGUGUCUCUGUUUCUACAGUUGUUUAAUGAUGUUCCAGUGUUUGCACUCUACACACUCACUUCAUCUCUUUAUUUAACUUCUGCCUUUCUGGACAUUUUUCCUCUUGAGUUAUGUUUCACCCACUCUCCAGGCAAAUGGAAAACAGAUCUCACUCAGUCUGACCGCAGAUUGUUAAAGAAGAAAAAAAAAACACCAAAUGAGCUCACAAACAUUUCUGUGGCUUGGCUGUGGAAUGUGACCAAAGUGUUUAAAAACAUCACCUGACGCGGUAUUGAAAGAACUCAGGCAACAGAAUUAAGGGUUUGGCAGGUUUAGGUCUUAGCCCUCAGUCUGAAACUGAACCGUUUAAUUUCCUGAACAUCCAGACUGUUUGCUUGUGUGCUUUUCAAGAUCUGGAAGGUGGAUUUGUCUCCUGUUCAAACAGCGUCUUUUUGUGUUUUCCAUCCAACGCUCGCUAAUUUAUAAGUCAAUAAAAAUGUCACAAAACUGCCGACUAAUCACCUGUUAAAUGUUAACUGAUUGGCAGGGAGGAGGUGUCUGACAGUGAAAUGUGUGCCACUCGUCUCUGCUCCCACUGCCCUGACGUUGGAGUGCUCUGUGUAGACAUGCAUGUGUAGAAUCCCCUUGUAUUGUGCUCUUAAUUGUCAGCUUUGUGACUGUAGUAAAAGUGUUUAAUUUUU